This 1650-nucleotide ribosomal RNA is filed under the name Yarrowia lipolytica. RNAcentral's name for it is "SSU rRNA". It matches the Rfam family "Eukaryotic small subunit ribosomal RNA". Lineage: Eukaryota; Fungi; Ascomycota; Dipodascomycetes; Dipodascales. The record is from RNAcentral.
AUCUGGUUGAUCCUGCCAGUAGUCAUAUGCUUGUCUCAAAGGCCAAGCCAUGCAUGUCUAAGUAUAAACAAUUAUACAGUGAAACUGCGAACGGCUCAUUAAAUCAGUUAUCGUUUAUUUGAUAGUUUUCUACAUGGAUAACCGUGACUAACUGGGAACUAAUACAUGACGGCCUUCUGGCGUAUAUAUUGAUACAAACCAACGGUAUGGUGAUUCUUAAUAUCUUGUCGAACCGAUCUUCGGUGUAUCGUUCAAUUCUGCCUAUCAACGCUGUCGAUGGUAGGAUCAUUGGCCUACCAUGGUAACAACGGUAGCGGGAAUCGGGGUUCUAUUCGGAGGGAGCCUGAGAAACGGCUACCACAUCAGGAAGGCAGCAGGCGCGCCAAAUUACCCAAUCCUGACACAGAGUGGUGACAAUAUAUAACGAUCCGGGGCUCUUUGAGUUUCGGAAUUGGAAUAGUACAAUUUAAACACCUUAACGAGGAACAAUUGGAGGGUGAAGUCUGGUGCCAGCAGCCGCGGUAAUUCCAGCUCCAAUAGCGUAUAUUAAUGUUGUGCAGUUAAAAGCUCGUAGUUGAAAUUGGGCGGGCUAUUGGUUUGAGCCGCUUCAGGAAGAACUUCUUCCAGUUACUUUGAAAAAUUGGAGUGUUCAACGCAGGUUUCGCCUGAAUAUAUUAGCAUGGAAUAACAUAACGACGAGGUCCAUUUGUUGGCUUGCAAACCCACGUAAUGAUUAAUAGGGACGGUCGGGGGCGUCAGUAUUGUGUUGUCAGAGGGUGAAAUUCUUGGAUUACAAGACAACUACUGCGAAGGCAUUCGCCAAGGAUGUAUUCAUUAAUCAGAACGAAAGUUAGAGGAUCCAAGAUGAUCCAGAUACCGUCGUAGUCUUAACCGUAAACUAUGCCAUUUGAGAAUGGGUGCCAUAUACGGUAUCCGCGCUCUGAAAUCAAAGUGAUCAGGUUCUGGGGGAGUAUGGUCGCAGGCUGAAACUUAAAGGAAUUGACGGAAGGGCACCACCAGGAGUGGAGCCUGCGGCUUGUUGAUGACUCAACGAGGGGAAACUCACCAGGUCCAGACACAAUAGGAUUGACAGAUUGAUGGCUCUUUUCUUGAUUUUGUGGGUGGUGGUGCGCCAACGUUCUUGGUUGGUGGGUGAUUUGUCUGUAGUACGACAACGAACCUUGAGACCUUGACCUGCUAAAUAGCUCUGCGAUUGCGGGUAGCUAACUGUAGAGGGACUAUCUAUUACUACAGAGUAGAUGGAGAGUUCCAGAGGGCAAUAACAAGGUCUGCAUUGCCCUUAGACGUUCCUGGGCCGCACGCGCGCUACACUGACGGAACCAGCGAGUCGACCAAGCCGAGAGGGUGGAAGCCAAUCUUAAUGAAACUCCGUCGUGCUGGGGAUGAGCAUUUACGGUGUGCUCUUCAACGAAAUUCCCUAGUAAAGCGCAAGUCAUCGGCUUGCGUUGAUUACGUCCUGCCCUUUAACACACCGCCCGUCGCUACCGAUUGAAUGGUUUAGUGAGACAGCGGGAGGGCGAGAUGAGGGGCAACCCCUUUUGAACAUCAAACGGUCAAACUUGAUUAUUUAGAGGAAGUAAAAGUCGUAACAAAGGUUUCCGUAGGUGAAGACCUGCGGAAGGAUCGUGU